CUACGGAGGGCGCGAGCGUUGUUCGGAAUUACUGGGCGUAAAGGGCGCGCAGGCGGCUUGAUAAGUCAGAUGUGAAAGCCCACGGCUCAACCGUGGAAGUGCAUCUGAAACUGUCUGGCUUGAGUACUGGAGAGGAAAGUGGAAUUCCUGGUGUAGAGGUGAAAUUCGUAGAUAUCAGGAGGAACACCGGUGGCGAAGGCGACUUUCUGGACAGAUACUGACGCUGAGGCGCGAAAGCGUGGGGAGCAAACAGGAUUAGAAACCCCAGUAGUCC
RNAcentral lists this ribosomal RNA (274 nucleotides) under uncultured bacterium. RNAcentral describes it as "partial 16S ribosomal RNA". It matches the Rfam family "Bacterial small subunit ribosomal RNA", at positions 523 to 796 of the family's 1533-position model. The record is from RNAcentral.